AUGGACUUUGAUUUGAAGUACAUAUAUGAGCGGUAUGUUGAGUCGUCCGACAACUUAUUGGAUGAGGAGUACUCCGAUGAGAAGGCGGUGAUGCAGACGCUCCUUGAAGACGCGGAGCAUGCGGAGAAGCAUGUUCUCGAUUUCAAGGGCUUGAUCAAGGGUCAUUGCAUGCUCAACCACAACAGGGCGCGCGACCAUUUGACACUGAUGGCCGACUACUUUGCCCCGAUGCACUAUCCGCUGACCAUUUUCACCUGCAUUUUCGGAUGCAUAAGGCUGUUUUCGAUCGUUUGUACCAUGGCGUCCGGUCCUACGAUGACUACUUCAUCCUGA
RNAcentral lists this ribosomal RNA (333 nucleotides) under Triticum aestivum (bread wheat). RNAcentral's name for it is "partial small subunit ribosomal RNA". The record is from RNAcentral. Lineage: Eukaryota; Viridiplantae; Streptophyta; Magnoliopsida; Poales; Poaceae.